RNAcentral lists this ribosomal RNA (392 nucleotides) under uncultured bacterium. RNAcentral describes it as "partial 16S ribosomal RNA". It matches the Rfam family "Bacterial small subunit ribosomal RNA", at positions 523 to 918 of the family's 1533-position model. The record is from RNAcentral.
AUACGUAGGGGGCAAGCGUUAUCCGGAUUUAUUGGGUUUAAAGGGUGCGCAGGCGGCCAUUUAAGUCAGCGGUUAAAUCGUGGGGCUCAACCCCAUUCUGCCGUUGAUACUGGGUGGCUUGAUUGCGGUCGAGGUUGGCGGAAUUCGUUGUGUAGCGGUGAAAUGCAUAGAUAUGACGAAGAACACCGAUUGCGUAGGCAGCUGACCAGAUCGCAAAUGACGCUCAUGCACGAAAGUGCGGGGAUCGAACAGGAUUAGAUACCCUGGUAGUCCGCACAGUAAACGAUGAAUACUUGUUUUCGGCGAUAUAAUGUCGGAGGCAAAGCGAAAGCGAUAAGUAUUCCACCUGGGGAGUACGCCGGCAACGGUGAAACUCAAAUGAAUUGACGUGG